GUCAGGAUAGCUCAGCUGGUAGAGCAGAG
Molecule: transfer RNA, 29 nt
Filed under: Catalpa aff. speciosa Olmstead 88-003
Lineage: Eukaryota; Viridiplantae; Streptophyta; Magnoliopsida; Lamiales; Bignoniaceae
Description: partial tRNA-Phe
Source: RNAcentral